This 702-nucleotide small RNA is filed under the name Pan troglodytes (chimpanzee). Its description in RNAcentral is "retained intron". Lineage: Eukaryota; Metazoa; Chordata; Mammalia; Primates; Hominidae. The record is from RNAcentral.
UAGGACUGGGGGCUACAGCAGCUGGUCAAACCCCAGCCUCCUCCUCUCCCUCUGGCUGUAGGAUCCUCUACACCACAUACUACGAGUCCAUCACCAACAGGGGCCCCUUCUUCGGCUACUACUUCUUCAACGGGCUUCUGAUGUUGCUGCAGCUGCUGCACGUGUUCUGGUCUUGCCUCAUUCUGCGCAUGCUCUAUAGCUUCAUGAAGAAGGGCCAGAUGGAGAAGGACAUUCGUAGUGAUGUAGAAGAAUCAGACUCCAGUGAGGAGGCGGCGGCGGCCCAGGAACCUCUGCAGCUAAAGAACGGGGCAGCUGGAGGGCCCAGGCCAGCCCCCACUGAUGGCCCUCGGAGCCGGGGGGCCGGGCGUCUGACCAACAGGCACCCAACAGCCACAUAGCCGGGCGGGGCUGGCUGUAAGGGGUUGCCCCCCCGCCAGCGCCUUGGAUAUUUCUGGGGUGACUGGACUGGCGCCCCUGGGCCACCUUUCUGGAGACAGGGAGGGCCCCACCCGGGGUGGGCUGAUGAUCUGUCUCCAGCCCCUUCCUUCUGCCCACCCGCCCUUCUUCCCUCUGGGCAACUGGACAGAGCUGGGAGCCAGCAGCUGGAUGCUGUGGCUGGCCAGAGACACCUCCAGGCUGUAGCCUGGGGGCUGGGGGGAGCCCCAGGCUGAAAAGGGUCCAAUUAAAACAAAUGGAGCCAAA